RNAcentral lists this ribosomal RNA (327 nucleotides) under Ephedrus persicae. RNAcentral describes it as "partial 16S ribosomal RNA". Lineage: Eukaryota; Metazoa; Arthropoda; Insecta; Hymenoptera; Braconidae. The record is from RNAcentral.
AGUCAAAUCUGCCCAAUGAUAAAUUUUAAUGGCUGCAGUAUAACUAACUGUACAAAGGUAGCAUAAUAAUUAGUUUUUUAAUUAAAAACUAGAAUGAAUGAUUUAAUGAGAUAUAAACUAUAUAAAAAUAAAUAAAAUUUAAAUUUAAAAUUUAAGUAAAAAUGCUUAAAUUUUAUUAAAAGACGAGAAGACCCUAUAGAAUUUUAUAUUUAAAUAAGUUUAUAAUAAUAAUAAUUUUAAAAACUUAUUUAUAUAUUUAAUUGGGGUAAUUUUAAAAUUAAAUAAACUUUUAAAAUAUAAACAUUAAUUAAUGAAUAAAAAAUCCUA